RNAcentral lists this long non-coding RNA (427 nucleotides) under Malus domestica (apple). RNAcentral describes it as "long non-coding RNA (MDOM_LNC002147)". Lineage: Eukaryota; Viridiplantae; Streptophyta; Magnoliopsida; Rosales; Rosaceae. The record is from RNAcentral.
GGUUUAGUAGAUCUUGAAGGUGAAAGAGUGAUUACUAGUUCUACCUUAUCAAACCUUGCUGAUCCCAAACCUAAUCAAAUUGGAAUGUUUGACAUGAAUUUUGUGUGCAAUUAUGGGAGAAUUUGGUAGGUCUUCAGGGUUGAAGAUGGAGUAGUAGGAUGGUUUUUUGUUGUAAUAGAAAAAGUGAGUCAGUUCUGGUAAAACUGAAAAGAGGGAAAUUUGCUCAAUUUCCUAUACAAACUUCUUAACGAGUGUGGUGAAUGAACUAGAAGUAAACCUUAGUUUUCUUGCAAUAUUUUAUUGUCCUCAUGGCCAUUUUAUCAUAAUUAUUAUCCAUCAGGAUGUGCUGUCUUGUUUGGAUUAACUACAGUAAACCCUAUUCAUAGAUAUCUUCUUGUGCAGUUUUACGAAUGGAGCAAGAUGUGGA